UACGGAGGGUGCAAGCGUUGCUCGGAAUUAUUGGGCGUAAAGGGCAGGUAGGUGGUCUCGUUUGUCUGGGGUGAAAGCCUUGAGCUUAACUCAAGAAGUGCCUUAGAAACGGCGAGACUAGAGUCUUGGAGAGGGUCGUGGAAUUCCCGGUGUAGCGGUGAAAUGCGUAGAGAUCGGGAGGAACACCAGCGGCGAAGGCGGCGACCUGGACAAGUACUGACACUCAACUGCGAAAGCGUGGGGAGCAAACAGG
Molecule: ribosomal RNA, 253 nt
Filed under: uncultured bacterium
Lineage: Bacteria
Description: partial 16S ribosomal RNA
Rfam family: Bacterial small subunit ribosomal RNA
Source: RNAcentral